CCGUUUUCAAACUGACCCUGUAAAGGGGGAAAAAAAAAAAAAGUACAACCAAAAGUCUUCUUGAUCCCCAUGUUUGCCUAAAUUAUUUUUGCUGUCAUGUUACUAAAUCCACAUGGCACUAGGAGUCAGGGACACUAACAACUUAUUCAGCCAUUAAAAAACCAAAAUAAGGUAAAUUAAAACAGAGUUUUACUGUUACAGUAACAUUCAGGUGAACAUUAACGUGCUCUUGGAUGUUUUGCUGAAAUGGAAUUGCUCCCCACGAUAUGAAGGUCCAGUGUGUCAACGGCCCAGCUUCUUUUGAGUUUAGCCAGACUAGAUUCACUUGCUGUGGAAUGACUUCAUGCUUUUCCACCACUUUUCGAACAACUGCAAAGCCUUUGUUCUUACAUUAGACCCUGCCUUCAUUUGGCUUCACUUGGCGUGAGCGUAUUGUUGAUAGGGUAAGGCAGACUCUGUUCUGUUCUCAUUAGCCUGCGGUCCUCAAGUGGCACUUCCUGGCAGCGGUGACAUAUGGCAAAGAAACACAAAUGCAGACCCCAAAUCCCAGGGCAGUGCUGGAUUAUAAAUGGCUUAUCCAAACU
Leopardus geoffroyi (Geoffroy's cat) is the source of this 584-nucleotide long non-coding RNA. RefSeq lists it as uncharacterized. The record is from RefSeq and is a predicted model, not a curated record. NCBI's taxonomy places the organism in Eukaryota, Metazoa, Chordata, Mammalia, Carnivora, Felidae. The transcript is spliced from 2 exons.